UUUAUUACAACUCAACCCAAGCAAAGACGUCCAACUGGGACACUUCAGAAUGGAAAAGCUGCCGAUUUAGUUCCCCAACCACCACAAACGUCUGAAUCAACUCCAAACUUGACACCACAAGAAAAAA
Drosophila willistoni is the source of this 127-nucleotide long non-coding RNA. RefSeq lists it as uncharacterized. NCBI's taxonomy places the organism in Eukaryota, Metazoa, Arthropoda, Insecta, Diptera, Drosophilidae. The transcript is spliced from 3 exons. The record is from RefSeq and is a predicted model, not a curated record.